RNAcentral lists this long non-coding RNA (402 nucleotides) under Populus trichocarpa (black cottonwood). RNAcentral's name for it is "long non-coding RNA (PTRI_LNC003536)". The record is from RNAcentral. Lineage: Eukaryota; Viridiplantae; Streptophyta; Magnoliopsida; Malpighiales; Salicaceae.
GAAAGCUAAAACAUGGUCAACUGUGUAAAAAAAUGUGAGAGACACAUGGACAACUUCAAGAUCUGACUUGUUCAAAGUUUUCAUACGUGUGAUGCUAAAGGAGGCAUCGUGUCCCUGUCAGUAAAGUUAAAACACCCAAGGUACUGUAAGCAAAUAAAAAAAUCUUCUUAUAAACUAACCUUACAAAGCUGAUUACAGAGAAACUCACAAACAACAAGAGAGUGGAGAGGGAGCUAGAAACAAUGAGAAAAUACCGAUAGCGUUGAGAGGAUAUAGCAGAGAGAAGAUGCAGCCUCGUUGCUUAAAAGAAGUCUCUCAAGCAUGCCUUAGUGGCUGCUGUCCAAGCCCCAUCCUUGGCUUUUCUGAGCCUCUUAACAAAAUCAGCAAGCCUAGAAGCACAUC